Molecule: long non-coding RNA, 3608 nt
Filed under: Sus scrofa (pig)
Lineage: Eukaryota; Metazoa; Chordata; Mammalia; Artiodactyla; Suidae
Description: lncRNA (ENSSSCG00000053265.1)
Source: RNAcentral
CACCUCGGGCCGGGCGCGGGGCAUCUACCUCGUGAAGAGCCCACCAGACAGCGAGUGUUUUGCUUAAAGGAAAGUUAAACCACAAUUUUUUCAGUAUGGGGAGAUCGUUGCGCCCCUUCCCCCAAUUCUUCGCGCAGGAUAAAUAAGGUGCUCCCGCUACCAAGACCUUCGCCAACGUCCACCCCACCCCCCGCUCGGGCGCCGGGUGUGGACAGGGCGGGGGAAGGCUAUAUGGGAGCUUAAAGCAUGAGGUCAUGGGCGGAGGAGGCUGCUGCCAAAAGCGGCCGAGGUUUUUGUGUAUCUUGAGGGGUAACGGUUCUCCAUCUUCAGCCGUGGUAAGUUCUCCCGCAUAACACUACCAGUUCUGGGGCACCUGGAUCAGAGAGCCCCCGAAAGAGGAGGGGGCUCUGCACUGUUUCGCUCUUUGAGCCUUUGGCUGGUGCCCUGCCCUUUAUGUGGCCCUCCCACAUAAGCAAGAAAGUAGAGGGGCAGCGCACACUGUCGUGGGGUUUGAGAAAGGCUCAGAUGCUCGGUCACCCCCCUCAUCCCCUCUUUCCUCAGCCCUUGGUCAUCUUCCAUCCCGAACGCUUUUUGUGAUAGCCUUCUAUCCCCCUCCGACCCAUUCUUCCCGAGCAGCUAGAAGAGUCUUUCUAAAACUCUGGACGACACUCCUUCAAACCCCUCCCAAUUGCUCUUAGAAUAAAGCUCUGAAGCCCCCGCGCGAUUUCGCCCUUACAGACCUCUCCACUCUCACAGCUCCUCCUCCUCCUCCUAUACUGUAAGCCGGGUAGUGCUUCUUUGUUCUGUGGCUGGGGGCGGGGGGUGGGGGUAUCCCUCCCCCUCCAUCUCUUCUUACCAACUCCUGCUAGACCUUCAGGACACGUCUCCACUAUCACUCCCUCCAAGAAGCCUUCCUAAGAAUACAAUCUCAUCUCUAACUCCCUCAGUGCAGAAAGACCCACCCUCGAACUCCGGGAAGCCGGGCCGUGGCUGGAGCUGGCUGCAGGGGCAGCCCUUUUCCAAGCCGAGGAAGAAGAGCCAAGCUUGAGCGCCAUCACUGCCUGGGCGCCUGACCUGCUGGGAGGCAGUGACUAGGUCAAAACCUCAACACGUCGUGUUUCCUCUAGAGACCUGGGAAAAGCAGCGCAGUGCCGCCCAGAAACCUCAGCCCCUCAACCCCCCCACCCCCGCCCCCCAGCACACACCCACAACUUGUAAUGCCAGGAGAGGUCUUUUAACCUAAAACUCCUCCCUGGGGCAGAUAAGGAAGCCGAGGCUUGAAAGGAGUAACCCGCCCAGGGUCAAUGAGGAAACUGACACCUUGGUCUUUCCUGCCCCCAAAAGAGAAGGAAGGAUUUGGGGCCUAAAGAGUUGUUGCUUCACAGCCAAGGAUGCCUGUGUCACCUUCCAAGGACCCCUAUAUGCUUGGCUCACUGCCAACAGAGAGGUAGUAAACCUAAUGGUUAGUCUUGCAGGCUCUGACCUUAGGCAAGUUACUUCCUCACUGGGUCAGUUUCUUUGUCUGUAAAAUCAGAACAAUGGUACCUGCAGUGUAGUGUUACUGGGAGAUUUAAAUGAGUUUAUAUAUGUAAAGACCUUAGAACAAGUUCUUGAUUAUCAGGGAGCAGUGUUAUGUGCCCCCUCCCUUCCCGAGGACUCUAAUAAGGGCCCCAGAGUCUUAACUGAUUUAAGCAUCAAAAAUGACCUAUGGUCUAAUAAACUGGGAAGCGUCCAUAACGCACAGACAAUACAUACAGAGACCUUAGGUAGUUGAUGGAUUCAACCCUCAACAAUGCAUUCUCUUGAAGACCACCCCAAGUCUGGGAGCACUAGUCUGGACUCUUAGAAUGAGUGUCAGAGGGAGGAUAGCUAAAGUUAAAAUAUUACCUUGAAUGUUUGAAAUCAGAGUCAGGCUAAAACAGUCCCUUCCCAGCGCAAAACCUGCCUUAUAUGAUCAAAGUCCUCCUAGGGCUGUAAAAAAAUGUGAAGGGAUUAUUACUAUUAUUUAUUAUUAUUAUUUUAUCAUUAUUAUUGUCAUUAGAUCCUAGUUUUCCCAUUCUCAGCACUAACCCCGUGGUAAAAGAGGGUGGGUUUUUUUGGUUUUGUUUUUUUUUUUUUUAAUGCAGUUCUUUUUUUUUUUUUUUGGAAUAGGUUUCCUGCAUUUACAUGGUUCCAAAUUUGAAUAAUCUCCCUCCCACCAUGUCUCCUACCCACUGGUUUUCCCUCAGUGGAGAUAAGCAGGGUCAGAAGACGUAUUCAACUAUUUUUCAGCUGAGGGCUCAGGAGAACUCUUCGGAUGCCUAUUUAAGUCUUUAUGUUCAGGGCUUCCUUCUCCAAUCCAGGCAGAAUCACCACCCUACUCCUCCCCUUCAGCCUCAACCUGAAACAGGUUGUAGUAACAAUGAUGAACCACCAUUCCUGGGCCAUUGACAAAAACAAACACAUAUGCUGUGAUCCUUUCUCCUCCUCUACACUAGUAAUAGCUAAGCUUUACUGAGUGCUUUCUAUAUGCCUAAGUACUAGACAUGCUAAGUACUAGACAUGCAUUCUCCUAUUUCAUCAGCCCCAAACCCUCAUCCUUAACCUUAUUUUACAGAUGCAGACAGAAGUGGAAGCUCAGAGAGAUUAUGUAACUUGCUCCAGUUUGCAUCCAGGCUAACCUGAGCCCAAACCCUCUCUCUUAACCACUAGGCCCUUUGCCUCUGCAACACGGGAAAAAUUCCGGUGGCCUGAAGGGGAAGAAGUAAAAUGGAGUCUUUGGAUUUAGGCAGACCUUAAUUCAAACUCUGGAUCUGCCUGCUACCAGCAAUGAGAACUUGGGGAGGUUUCUUAACCUCUCUGGGUCCCAGUUCACCCACCUGCAAACUGGAACCAUACCUUCUUCACUGGUUAAAUGAAGUAAAACUCAAAUGUAUGUAAAUAAUGGCUUUUAAAAUGCAUAGUAAACCAAGCACAAUGUUUAGAUAUUGCGUGGCUCUGAUUUGAAUAAACCAGUUAAAAAGACAUUGUUGAGACAAUCAGGAAAAUAAAAUGUGAACUUGAUGUUAAGAAAUUAUUAAUUUCGUUAGAUGUGAUAAUGGUGUUAUGGUUAUGUUUUUUCCUUAAAUUCUUAUCUAUUUAGAGAUGCAUAAUGAGGAGUUUUGGGUGAAAGUAUGUUUAGGAUUUAUUUUCAAACACUCCAGCCCUCUCCUAAUAAAAGAUAAAUAAAACAAGAUUAGCAAAGCAUGGAUAAUUGCUGAAUCUGUCCAUUAUACUUUUCUCCCUACUACUGCUGAAAUGUUUCAAAUAAGUCUGAAAUAAUUUUAAAAGCAAUAUAUGUAUAAAAGCCCUGAAAUUUAAAAUGACCAGGAUUACUCAAUUAGUAUUAAAUGUUAUCAGUAAUUAUGAAAAUUGGAGUUCCCGUUGUGGCUCAGCGGGUUAAGGACCCGACUUAGUGUCUGGGAGGAUGCAGGUUUGAUCCCUGGCCUUACUCAGUGGGUUAAGGAUCCAGCGUUGCUGUGAGCUGCAGUGUAGGUGGCAGAUGUGGCUCAGAUCAGGCAUUGUUGUGGCUGGCAUAGGCCAGCAGCUGCAGCUCUGAUUCAGCCCCUAGCCCAGGAACUUCCAUAUGC